Manis javanica (Malayan pangolin) is the source of this 477-nucleotide non-coding RNA. The record is from RefSeq and is a predicted model, not a curated record. Lineage: Eukaryota; Metazoa; Chordata; Mammalia; Pholidota; Manidae.
GGACUUCUAGGGGAGAAAUCCAGGCUUUGCUUAUGUUUGGAGAGGGGGAAAGAUUCCAUGAAGGGAAUAUGAGGGGUUAAAAUAUGCCUACCCAAUGAUGGAAGACUGCGUCUGCCCCACUGAGAUCUCUACCUACUUGCUCACUGGAUUCCUCUCGGGCCCUUCUGGGAUUUGCUGAGCCCUUUAUUGUGGGCACCUGUGCUGGGACCUUUCCAUGAGACUGAGUUCGUAGUUCUACUUCUUCAGAGUUAAGUGCUGCAGCUUCCUCCCAGAAGCCGUUCAGCAUGGGCUAGAUAAAGUCAGCCCUCGAGGUGAUAAUAAGCAUACAGCUGUGCAUACCAAGUUGGUUUUUCAUCCUACGGCUGGAGAGAUAAAACAUCUUUUUUAAAUUUGGAGGAGAGGGGUAGUUUUAGCAAAUAUUUCCAAAGAUGCAAAGUUGUUCAGUUUCUAUAACAGAGGCUUCCAUUUUCCUUAACC